UUGAAAGGGAAACGAUUGAAGUCAGUCGUACCAGCGGGAAUCAACCUUUCGAGUGGGGGUUUUGGAGUUUUGAAGAGUGUCAAAACCUUUGAGAUUUCAAAAAUUUCGCUCUUUUGGUGUACUUUCUCGUGGGUAGGUUAACAUCGAUUUUGAUCAUCAUAAAAAGAUUGGAGGAAUGUAGCUUCGAUCUUGUAUUGAAGUGUUAUAGCCUUUGGUAAAUGUGAUGAUUAGGAUCGAGGAUUGCAACGAAUACCCUUUUGGGCUAUCCGCCUGAUCUCUGAUACGUGGCCUUGGUAUCGAAAGCUUGCUUAUGGUAUUGAGGUAUUACGGUCAAAAGGUUAGAACGGAUUACAUUCGUUAAGGAUGUUGACGUA
Molecule: ribosomal RNA, 374 nt
Filed under: uncultured Glomeromycotina
Lineage: Eukaryota; Fungi; Glomeromycota
Description: LSU rRNA
Source: RNAcentral